RNAcentral lists this transfer RNA (70 nucleotides) under Marmota monax (woodchuck). RNAcentral's name for it is "tRNA.Ala". The record is from RNAcentral. Lineage: Eukaryota; Metazoa; Chordata; Mammalia; Rodentia; Sciuridae.
GGAUUGUGGCUCAGCGGUAGAGCAGAGCUCCCUUAGCAUGGGCGGGACCCGGGUUCGAUUCUCAGCACCA